UGCAUGUCUAAGUAUAAAUAGUAUACAGUGAAACUGCGAAUGGCUCAUUAAAACAGUUAUAGUUUAUUUGAUAAUGGAAAGCUACAUGGAUAACCGUGGUAAUUCUAGAGCUAAUACAUGCUGUCAAGCCCAACUUCUCGGAAGGGCUGUAUUUAUUAGAUAUCAAGCCAAUAUUCCUUCGGGUCUAUUGUGGUGAAUCAUAGUAACUGAUCGAAUCCUCAUUUGGAUAAAUCAUUCAAGUUUCUGCCCUAUCAGCUUUCGAUGGUAGUGUAUUGGACUACCAUGGCAUUAACGGGUACGGAGAAUUAGGGUUCGGUUCCGGAGAGGGAGCCUGAGAAACGGCUACCACAUCUAAGGAAGGCAGCAGUGGUGAAAAUUACCCAAUCCUGAUUCAGGGAGGUAGUGACAAGAAAUAGAAAUCUGGGCCACUUUCGUGGUUACGGAAUUUAAAUGAGAACAAUUUAAAAGACUUAUCGAGGAACAAUUGGAGGGCAAGUCUGGUGCCAGCAGCCGCGGUAAUUCCAGCUCCAAUAGCGUAUAUUAAAGUUGUUGCAGUUAAAAAGCUCGUAGUUGAACUUCUGUACAGUCUCAUUUCUGGCUUAGGUCAAGAUGUUGGCUGUGCAUCCGCUUGCAAAGCUGGUUCGGCCUUAACUGGUCGGCUAGUAGAGUAAGCCCUUUACUUUGAAAAAAUUAGAGUGUUUCAGGCAGGCAAUGGCUCGAAUACAUUAGCAUGGAAUAAUGGA
This 743-nucleotide ribosomal RNA is filed under the name Uronema marinum. RNAcentral describes it as "SSU rRNA". It matches the Rfam family "Eukaryotic small subunit ribosomal RNA", at positions 52 to 821 of the family's 1831-position model. The record is from RNAcentral. Lineage: Eukaryota; Ciliophora; Oligohymenophorea; Philasterida; Uronematidae.